AAAAACCUAAACUGAGAAUACGAGACAAAGAAAUUAGUGAUUAAAUUU
Molecule: non-coding RNA, 48 nt
Filed under: Trypanosoma brucei brucei
Lineage: Eukaryota; Euglenozoa; Kinetoplastea; Trypanosomatida; Trypanosomatidae
Source: RNAcentral